Molecule: ribosomal RNA, 490 nt
Filed under: Olinga feredayi
Lineage: Eukaryota; Metazoa; Arthropoda; Insecta; Trichoptera; Conoesucidae
Description: partial 16S ribosomal RNA
Source: RNAcentral
GUCUUAAAGAAUUAUUAUUUUAAGUCUAAUCUGCCCACUGAAUUUAUUUAAAGGGCCGCAGUAUAAUUGUGCAAAGGUAGCAUAAUAAUUAGUUUUUUAAUUGGAAACUAGAAUGAAUGAUUGGACGAAAUAUUAACUGUUUUGGUUUUAUAUAUAAAAUUUAUUUUUUUAGUGAAAAAACUAAAAUUACUUAAAAAGACAAGAAGACCCUAUAGAUCUUUAUAUUAUAAUUAUAAAUUAAUGUUUAUUUUAUAAUGUUAAAUUGGGGUGAUUGAGAAAUUUAAUUAACUUUUUAUAUUUUUUACAAUAAUUAUUGAAUUAUUGAUGUUGAUCUAUUAUUAAGAAUAAAGAAUAAGAUACCUUAGGGAUAACAGCGUAAUUUUAGUUUUAAGUUCGUAUUGAAAUUAAAGAUUGCGACCUCGAUGUUGGAUUAAAAUUAAUUUUAAAUGUAGAUGUUUAAUAAUUAGGUCUGUUCGACCUUUGAAUUUUU